This is a long non-coding RNA of Labrus mixtus (cuckoo wrasse), 553 nucleotides long. RefSeq lists it as uncharacterized. The transcript has 5 exons. Lineage: Eukaryota; Metazoa; Chordata; Actinopteri; Labriformes; Labridae. The record is from RefSeq and is a predicted model, not a curated record.
CGAUUGUCUCUGCAGGACUCUCGUCUGCACAGAAGUGACACCUGAACGUUACACAGACGGAGCAUCACAGGAAGGGCUCAUCUGAGGCCGUGAGCGUCUUCGUCGCCCCUGGGUGUCUGAGAGCAGAGCCGGGUCUGAGAUGGCGUUUGGUGGUUCACAGCUUCCGUAUCUCCUGGGUUUCUGUAGCUCCACCCCUUCCCUCCGUCACAGAGACGUCUUCUGACGGUGUGAACGCUCCAUCCUGAUGUGAUUUGGACAGUGUGACUGUGGGGUCGUGGCAGAUAUUCAGCAGGAAACCAGAAGUACUCGUCGAACAGUUCAGGGACCGAAGGCCGAACAAAGAAGGCCGUCUCAUUCAGCGGUAAGUAAACUCACUAUAAACUGCUAAAGUCAUCAGUGAUGUGCUUUGAGUGUGAGCACUACAAGAGGUAGAGAGGGAGGCGUGUGAUUGGUCCAUCAGAUUGUUUUGUGGCAGAGAUUGGUCAAAGUUUUUAGAGAUGUACAACUGAUACAGAUGAGGGAUUUUCUUUGGGACGUUGAUUUUUGGAUGAUU